UACGUAGGGUGCGAGCGUUAAUCGGAAUUACUGGGCGUAAAGCGUGCGCAGGCGGUUCGCUAAGUCUGAUGUGAAAGCCCCGGGCUCAACCUGGGAACUGCAUUGGAAACUGGCGAGCUUGAGUGUGGCAGAGGGGGGUGGAAUUCCACGUGUAGCAGUGAAAUGCGUAGAGAUGUGGAGGAACACCGAUGGCGAAGGCAGCCCCCUGGGCUAACACUGACGCUCAGGCACGAAAGCGUGGGGAGCAAACAGG
This 253-nucleotide ribosomal RNA is filed under the name uncultured bacterium. RNAcentral describes it as "partial 16S ribosomal RNA". It matches the Rfam family "Bacterial small subunit ribosomal RNA", at positions 524 to 776 of the family's 1533-position model. The record is from RNAcentral.